ACUAACCUUCCCUCUGAAUUUGCAGUUUGGAAAUAUCCAGGAGGAAGUGAUUUACAUAAGAGUACAAGUAUAUUUUGGGCCAAUACCACAAAUGAAGUGAGGAUAAAGAUGCUGCUGGAAAGAAAUUUUACAUUUUCCCAGGAUGGUGUUGUAACAUGCAGCCCCCAUCAGACUGGAUUACAUGAUACAGUUGACCCAGCAACUAACAUAAGAAUUAUACAUUCUCAGGACUGUCCAACUACCACCCUAUGGCCAGAGCAUGGCCUUUUCUUACAACCAACACAAACUGUUGUGUAUACUGAUGUAUCUUAUGUAAC
Molecule: non-coding RNA, 317 nt
Organism: Pelobates cultripes (western spadefoot toad)
Lineage: Eukaryota; Metazoa; Chordata; Amphibia; Anura; Pelobatidae
Source: the annotation of a GenBank genome assembly